GGGUCAGUAGGUUGGUCGUGCCACCGGUACGUACUGGUCUCACUGAUUCCUCCUUCCUGAAUAACCGUAAUGCCAUUAAUUUGGUGUUGCGGGGAAACAGGACUGUUACUUUGAAAAAAUUAGAGUGUUUAAAGCAAGCUAACGCUUGAAUACAUUAGCAUGGAAUAAUGAAAUAGGACGAUCGAUCCUAUUUUGUUGGCUUCUAGGAUUGACGUA
RNAcentral lists this ribosomal RNA (216 nucleotides) under Glomeromycotina sp. RNAcentral describes it as "partial small subunit ribosomal RNA". The stretch from base 40 to 216 matches the Rfam family "Eukaryotic small subunit ribosomal RNA", at positions 686 to 864 of the family's 1831-position model. Lineage: Eukaryota; Fungi; Glomeromycota. The record is from RNAcentral.